CUAGCCACUACCUGGUCAUUAAACUAGCCACUACCUGGUCAUUAAACUAGCCACUACCUGGUCAUUAAACUAGCCACCACCUGGUCAUUAAACUAGCCCCCACCUGGUCAUUAAACUAGCCACUACCUGGUCAUUAAACUAGCCACUUCCUGGUCAUUUGUCGUGGAAAUGUCCUGUAUUACCAAAUCAUGAGAGAGCAAACCACACACAAGGUUAGGCCAGGACCAGGUACAUACAGGUCAGGACCAGGUACAUACAGGUCAGGUUAGGACCAGGUACAUACAGGUUAGGACCAGGUACAUACAGGUCAGGACCAGGUACAUACAGGUCAGGACCAGGUACAUACAGGUCAGGACCAGGUACAUACAGGUCAGGACCAGGUACAUACAGGUUAGGACCAGGUACAUACAGGUCAGGACCAGGUACAUACAGGUCAGGACCAGGUACAUAUAGGUCAGGACCAGGUACAUACAGGUCAGGACCAGGUACAUACAGGUCAGGUUAGGACCAGGUACAUACAGGUCAGGUCAGGACCAGGUACAUACAAGUCAGGUUAGGACCAGGUACAUACAGGUCAGGACCAGGUACAUACAGGUCAGGACCAGGUACAUACAGGUCAGGUCAGGACCAGGUACAUACAGGUCAGGACCAGGUACAUACAGGUCAGGUUAGGACCAGGUACAUACAGGUCAGGUCAGGACCAGGUACAUACAGGUCAGGUUAGGACCAGGUACAUACAGGUCAGGUCAGGACCAGGUACAUACAGGUCAGGUUAGGACCAGGUACAUACAGGUCAGGACCAGGUACAUACAGGUUAGGACCAGGUACAUACAGGUCAGGACCAGGUACAUGCAGGUCAGGUCAGGACCAGGUACAUACAGGUCAGGACCAGGUACAUACAGGUCAGGACCAGGUACAUACAGGUCAGGUCAGGACCAGGUACAUACAGGUCAGGACCAGGUACAUACAGGUCAGGUCAGGACCAGGUACAUACAGGUCAGGACCAGGUACAUACAGGUCAGGACCAGGUACAUACAGGUCAGGACCAGGUACAUACAGGUUAGGACCAGGUACAUACAGGUCAGGACCAGGUACAUACAGGUCAGGACCAGGUACAUACAGUUCAGGUCAGGACCAGGUACAUACAGGUCAGGACCAGGUACAUACAGGUCAGGUUAGGACCAGGUACAUACAGGUCAGGUUAGGACCAGGUACAUACAGGUCAGGACCAGGUACAUACAGGUCAGGUUAGGACCAGGUACAUACAGGUCAGGUCAGGACCAGGUACAUACAGGUCAGGUCAGGACCAGGUACAUACAGGUCAGGUCAGGACCAGGUACAUACAGGUUAGGACCAGGUACAUACAGGUCAGGACCAGGUACAUGCAGGUCAGGUCAGGACCAGGUACAUACAGAUCAGGACCAGGUACAUACAGGUCAGGACCAGGUACAUACAGGUCAGGUCAGGACCAGGUACAUACAGGUCAGGACCAGGUACAUACAGGUCAGGUCAGGACCAGGUACAUACAGGUCAGGACCAGGUACAUACAGGUCAGGACCAGGUACAUACAGGUCAGGACCAGGUACAUACAGGUUAGGACCAGGUACAUACAGGCCAGUACCAGGUACAUACAGGUCAGGACCAGGUACAUACAGGUCAGGUUAGGACCAGGUACAUACAGGUCAGGUUAGGACCAGGUACAUACAGGUCAGGUCAGGACCAGGUACAUACAGGUCAGGUUAGGACCAGGUACAUACAGGUCAGGUUAGGACCAGGUACAUACAGGUCAGGUCAGGACCAGGUACAUACAGGUCAGGACCAGGUACAUACAGGUCAGGACCAGGUACAUACAGGUCAGGACCAGGUACAUACAGGUCAGGUUAGGACCAGGUACAUGCAGGUCAGGACCAGGUACAUACAGGUCAGGUCAGGUCAGGACCAGGUACAUACAGGUCAGGACCAGGUACAUACAGGUCAGGUCAGGUUAGGACCAGGUACCAGUGGUAAACAGAUGGAACCACACACCAGACCGGCUGUAUGUUGACGUCAUGGAGAUAGCAUAGAGAUAGGUUGACAUUUAUGAUUGACAGAUGAAACAGACUGAAGUGGUUGUGCAGGUCAGGUACUGACGAACAGAUAGAAGCAUGUCUCAGCAGACCGUAUAGCGCCACUCAGGGUCAACCAGGGUUACCAUGACACAUUUAGGCCCAGUUCCCUCCUUUGACCUAUGACCUAUGCUUAAUCAGUGUCCAGGAAAACACUUAACACUUAUUGUCCCUGUUGACCCAAUACAAACAAAAUAAAUAAUAUAAAUAUUAAUGAAUAAUAAUGAAUAAAAGGUGUCUGGUCAACCGGUUAUGCCGUUUUGUUUUGAGGAACAAUAGGAGGUCCUUUCAUCCGUUGUCUUUCUCCGAUUGUACAUUAUGGUGUAAAUAAAUAAAACACACACACACACAACACAACAUAGCAGAAGCAUGUUUUUGUCUUUCAUCCUUCCUUCCUUCCUUCCUUUCAUCCUUCCUUCCUUCCAUCCUUCCUUCCUUCCUUUCAUCCUUCCUUCCAUCCUUCCUUCCUUUCAUCCUUCCUUCCAUCCUUCCUUCCUUUCAUCCUUCCUUCCUUCCAUCCUUCCUUCCUUCCUUCCAUCCAUCCUUCCUUCCUUCCUUCCAUCCUUCCUUCCUUCCAUCCAUCCUUCCUUUCAUCCUUCCUUCCAUCCUUCCUUCCAUCCAUCCUUCCUUCCUUCCUUCCAUCCUUCCAUCCUUCCAUCCUUCCUUCCUUUCAUCCUUCCUUCCUUUCAUCCUUCCUUCCAUCCUUCCAUCCUUCCUUCCUUUCAUCCUUCCUUCCUUUCAUCCUUCCUUCCUUCCAUCCUUCCUUCUUUCCACUCUCUCUUUCUCUUCACUCCUUACCUUUUUGUAAUGGUCAACUGUAACCGUAGCAUAGAAGCGCUAGAAACAAACGAGGAAUGGAAUAGUACACAUGUACUGUAUGUAAAUCAUAUGUCUUGAUUGGCACUUUCCCUGG
Molecule: long non-coding RNA, 3018 nt
Organism: Oncorhynchus tshawytscha (Chinook salmon)
Lineage: Eukaryota; Metazoa; Chordata; Actinopteri; Salmoniformes; Salmonidae
Source: Ensembl